AUUCAGCUGACGAGUUCCGAAUAGGAUGAAGUGGCGCGCGUCUUGGAU
RNAcentral lists this non-coding RNA (48 nucleotides) under Schistosoma mansoni. The record is from RNAcentral. Lineage: Eukaryota; Metazoa; Platyhelminthes; Trematoda; Strigeidida; Schistosomatidae.